CGCAGGGCUUGGUGUCAGCAAGAUGUUGCAGCCAUGGCCUGGCCCGGCUUCUGCCAGGGACCUGCGGCCUUCUGUCCCCUGCCAGCACAAUUACUGAUAUUUGAUUAGCAAGUGCUAUUGAGGAUUGAAGGAAGUACACAUUUUGCACAUUAUUUGCACAGGGCAGAUAAAAUCAAAUCAAAUUUGAGAGGAAGAUAAGACGCUCUGUCAGAUACUCUUCUCUUGGGUACGUCCUGGAGAACAUCAGGCCAGACCUGGUCUCCUCCAGUUCUUCUACAGCCAGGGGAGAGCAUGUAAGCUUGCUCGAAAGACUCACUUCUCACAGUGAUGAUGAGGAAAAAGGUUUCUCCAAGAUCACAAGAGACUACCUGGGGAGGGAGAGGAGCCAACAGCAGCCUGGCAGGAUCUCAAGAGUCCCAGGGCAGCAGCCAGCAAGGGCAUGCAUGCUGCAGAAAGUGAGAGCAAAGACAGGCUGCUCUCCAGCUGCCUUGUUUGCAGCCUACCUGCCUGCCUGUCUGGGCCCAGCAGUCCUGCAAAACCAGCACCAUCCUGCUGCAAGGGAGCUCGCUGCCAUUUCCAUGUCUUUGCAGGAUACCACAAUAUCUGUGGAAUACUCCAGGACUUAUGCCACCCUCCUUCUCCAGACAAUGCUGUCAGUGGUCUGCCUGCAAAGGGAUCUGCCUGGCCCUCUUCCUCCCACUCCCAGCUGCCACCCCUCUGUGUCAGCUGAGGCAUGAAAACACAGGCUGCUUACUGCAGCAAGGAGGUGGAAUGGUGGGAUGACAAGCAUGACUAGAAACCAGGGCUGUGCAGAGCCCCAUGGCCCUUUGAGAAAGUCUCCAUCUGGAGCUAAAACCUCUCUGUGCCCAAAUUCCCUAUUCUCUCAGCCAACCUCUUGCCAUCUUGAUGUGACUGUGAGAAGACUGUGUAGGGAUCAUUAGAAUGCCUAAUUUUAUUAGCGUUUAUAAUUCUGACAGUGAUGUGAAUUACAGCUGGUACCUGCUACAGCACCUCAAUGCGGAUAUGGAUGUGGCAGAUAAAGGAUGUAUCCCAAAGGUCAGUGACUGCUGUCAUGGGACAGGAAAUUCCCACAAAGAAUAACUGCUGGAGAUGGGUGCUAAAUUUCCCUGUCCUUCCAGUCCUAGGCAGUUACCUAAAGAAGCAGCAAGAGCAGCUGUCUUGCCUUCCUAGAGUCACUAGCUCUGGAAAGCCCUGGCAGCUCUGGGACUCAAGUAAAGAGUCUUUCCUCUUAGAUGCUACUGGGGCAGCCGACAGUUGACUUGAGCUCUCCAUGGUAAGAGCCUUUCUUCUCUCUCCUGACCUGCAGCACAUAUAGUAGGGUAGCAGCACAGGAGACCAUGCUAUUUUCACUCACUUUCCUUUCUUAAGUUCCUUGUCAAAAUCCUUUGGCAUGGGAGGUACUCCCUCCAUCACACCCCAGGAAAGAGCCAUCAGAGCCUAGCAGCAUUUGAUGGUUGUAAUCCCCAAAGCACUGGCCCAUUCCAUUUAGAUGGCACUUUGAGUCUGGAAACAGGCACAACCCUCCACUUCCGCCUUCUGCUUGUCUUUAAGGGAGCCACCAUUCCUCCACCUUGAAACCCAACACACAGCCAGCUUCCAGCUGAAUGCUGUACGCAAAGAAACCUGUCUUUGUGACAGGGAGAUUUGCUUACUUCUGCUCUUUAUCUUAUAGAAAAUACAGAGCUCUAUAUAGCAGCAUAUUCUUAAGGGAAUAGACCUAUAGCCAUUUAUCUCUGACUGAUGUAAACUCCAAAGUCUAAAGCCUGAAGUUCCAUUGGGAACACUAUACUCUCUUGAGUACAGGAGGCCUGAAAACCAGUGUGAUUUCUCAGUCUAGUAGGCAAACUGGUGGUGAAAGCUUGGUGUCUUUCACUCAUCUUCAAUUUCUUUCCUCAUUUGCCUUUGAAUUUAAUAGUCAGAUAGGGAAAUAGGCAUGUUCAGGAGGCCAGUUACAGUGUAGUCCCAACUAAUUCACUGCGCAGGGAGGGAGAGGUGUUGGUAGGGUGCUGCCCAAGAGUUCCAUUGCUGAUGGCCAUUACUGAACUCUCCCCAGUACAUCCAUGUCUCUCUUAUACUGAGGAACCCAGAACUGGACAUAGGACUUCAGAUGUGGCCUCACUAGUGCUGACUAGUGCUGACUAGAGAAGGAUUGCCUCCUACCUGUUGGCAAUCUUUAGCCUAAUGCAGCCCAGGAUCCCAUUUAUAUUCUUUACUGCGAUGACACACCGCUGGACUGCUACUGCCCAGGUGGAGGACUGCACACUUCUCAUUGUUGAAAUUUAUGAAGCUCCUAUCAGUCUAUUUCUCCAGCCAGACAAAAUCCAUGCGCCAGGACAACAUGACCAUCUGGUGUAUCUGCCAUUCUUCCCAGCUUUGUGUACCUUUGCAGAGGGCACACUCUGCUCCAUGAUCCAGCUUAUUUUUGAAGGUAUAAACAGGACUAGACCAAGAACUGACCCUUCAGGUACCCUGCUAGCUACUGGCCUCCAAAUACAAUUUAUACAUGAGGACAGUGAAGGAUUUCAAGACAGCCAGCACCACUUCAUCUAGGGCACAUCUCUCCAGCAUGGAGAGAUAUUGCUUUCUGCGGUGGAGUAAUGCCAUCCAUGAACAAGGGAAGGGCUACAAAUGGCACCUAUCUGGACUUUUGUAAGCAGGCCACUGACAUGGUCCCCUACAACAUCCUUCUUUCUAACUUGAAAAGUUUCUGAUGGAUGGACUGUUAGUGGCUUAAACAACAGGAUUGAAUGCACCAUCAGAAAGUUUGCAUACAAGACCAAGUUCAGUGGCACAGUUGACGUAUCUGAGGGACAGGAUGUCAUCCAGAGGGACCUGGACAAGCUGAAGGAGUGGGAAUCUCAUGGGGUUUAAUAAGGGUUUCUAUGUACAUACAUAUGAACAUACAUAUGUCAUCACAGAAAAUGGAUGAACUAAGGUAAAUUUUCAAUACAGGGAUUGUGGAGGUGAAAUGCUGGUUGUCUCUGUAAUAGCAAAUAAAAUUCUUUAUGUGACUGAAUAUGUUGGAAAGGUCUUUAUACUAUAUUCUCUUUUCAAACUACACAAGUGGGAACCUUCCACUUCGAAGAACACUAAAAAAUGCCAAGUGUAAGCGAGGAGGAACUAGUUUAAAAAUUAAAAAAAAAAAAUCAGAGCUGAAAUUCAAAUAUUUAAAUUUGUUUUUGUGAAAGUUAGCCUUUAUUUUUAGUUUUUUUAUUUAUUUCAAACACAGUGAAGUUCCCUCAGAUAAUGAAUGCUGCAUAACUAAUGUGAACCACAGAUAAAAGAAAAUGCGGUUUAAACAUUAAGAAUAUCUCAGUCAUUACCCUAAGCUCUCUGCUUGUUUGAAGAAAUUCAGUGAAAACCAACAGUCUUAAGCAAUUGUGUCAUACUAAAUCAUACCAAGAAACCACUUAGUUAAAAACAACAGUAUUUUUUCUGAUUUUUUUUUUUUCACCCAGAAUUGCAGUUUACAAUAAUGCAUUAAAUUGCAUUAACUCACAUUUUUGUGAGUUUCUGUUUAACAUAUCUUAUUGAGUUUGUAUGGCCAGGUUCUGGUAGCAGGGGGUGUUUACAGGGGUGCUUCCUGUAUGUCGCGCAGAGCCAAUCACUGUUGGCUCCAAGAGGGAUGCACUGCUAGCCAAGGCUGGGCCACUGAGAGAUGGUUGUAAUGCCUCUGUAAUAAUGUUUUUAGGAAGGAAAAAAAAGUAAUUGCACAGAUGUACUUGUGGCCACAGAA
Non-coding RNA from Cyanistes caeruleus (blue tit), 3757 nucleotides. The record is from RefSeq and is a predicted model, not a curated record. Lineage: Eukaryota; Metazoa; Chordata; Aves; Passeriformes; Paridae.